This is a long non-coding RNA of Uloborus diversus, 463 nucleotides long. RefSeq lists it as uncharacterized. The transcript is spliced from 3 exons. NCBI's taxonomy places the organism in Eukaryota, Metazoa, Arthropoda, Arachnida, Araneae, Uloboridae. The record is from RefSeq and is a predicted model, not a curated record.
UCAACUGCUGCUUAGUCCAAAUGUUCAAUGAGUAAUGUAAACAGAAAUUUUCUGCAAUUAUUUAGAGUUGGCUGUUUGCAAAAUAGUUGAAAUUUUAGUUAUUUAUUUAAAUAUUGAUGUAGGCAAAUAUAUUUGUUGUGUUUGGCUUCUAACACGAGUGAAUAAAGGAUAGUGUUGACAAUUAAGAAUGAGUAUGUGCCAACAGAGAAGAAAUCCAUUCUCUUGAGUUUAAAAAAAACUUUAAAGUUAUUCAGGCAGAAUAUUUGAAUCCUAACUCUUAUUGAGAGAAAAAAUGAAAAUUGAAAUGAAAAGGAUGGCAUUUAAAAGGAAAUUCACUAAUAAACAGAAGGAUGAUGUACUGUGGCGAAAUGUGGUAUGUUUUCCUAUUAAUUUACUAUAUGCGAUGUUAUAUACCAAAGGACAAAGGACUUGAUGUUGUAAUAUUGAAUAAAUUAGUAACCAU